RNAcentral lists this ribosomal RNA (494 nucleotides) under uncultured bacterium. Its description in RNAcentral is "partial 16S ribosomal RNA". It matches the Rfam family "Bacterial small subunit ribosomal RNA", at positions 28 to 507 of the family's 1533-position model. The record is from RNAcentral.
GACGAACGCUGGCGGCGUGCUUAACACAUGCAAGUCGAACGGAAAGGCCUGCUUUCCCUUGUGAAUUGCGGGUACUCGAGUGGCGAACGGGUGAGUAACACGUGAGUGAUCUGCCCCCAACUUGGGUAUAAGCCUGGGAAACUGGGUCUAAUUCCCGAUAGGACUGCAGGGUGGUGCCUGUGGUGGAGAACGAUUUUCUAGUGGUUGGGGAUGAGCUCGCGGCCUAUCAGCUUGUUGGUGGGGUAAUGGCCUACCAAGGCGGCGACGGGUAGCCGGCCUGGGAGGGUGGACGGCCACAUUGGGACUGAGAUACGGCCCAGACUCCUACGGGAGGCAGCAGUGGGGAAUAUUGCACAAUGGGCGGAAGCCUGAUGCAGCGACGCCGCGUGGGGGAUGACGGCCUUCGGGUUGUAAACUCCUUUCGACCGCGAGGAAGCCACCUGGUUGGAAGGGUGGUGACGGUAGUGGUAGAAGAAGCACCGGCUAACUACGUG